Molecule: long non-coding RNA, 1570 nt
Organism: Acanthochromis polyacanthus (spiny chromis)
Lineage: Eukaryota; Metazoa; Chordata; Actinopteri; Pomacentridae
Exons: 3
Source: RefSeq, a predicted model, not a curated record
CCCCGAACAACAGCCGCCACCGCCUUCUCAAAGCGGGUCCAUUGAUGCGGCCAAAGCCGAGACGUGCAAUUUCCUAAACGCUAUCUUUCUGUUCUUGUUCAGGGAACUCCGAGACACCCCAGUCGUCAGACACUGGCUCACUAAGAAUAUUAAAGUGGAAUUUUCAGGAGCUCCUGCACCGGGUCUCCGCGCGCAUACCGAUGUUGACACUUGUGUUAGUAAACACUGCAAGCCGUCUAUAUUAGCAGCAUGCAGUGCUGAUUGUUUCUGUUCUAAAUUUAGAUACGGUUCUUAGCGAUCUCGUGAAUGUGUUUCAUGUUUUUGGAUGUUUUUUGAUUGAUUGCCAUGUGAAAAUCCGUAUUUUGAUUAAUAAAACCGUAACCCGGAGUGGGAUCAUGAAAACCGUAAUCAUUAUGGCAAAACCGGAGUAGUUGGCAGGUAUGUAUAGAAAAUGGAUGGAUGGAGAUACUAUUACUUUUUCUGUGUUAUGUAGAUGCAUCACUCUACAUUUCAAUUGAGUGAAGGGCAUGACGUGCAGCGCUAUACAACUUGCUGCAAGCUCGACUAUGUGCUGGAUACUGAGGGGCCAGAGACAGAGCUAAUUUUGAAAACAGGGAAGAGUUGCCUGACACGUGGUGACUUCAGGACCCUUGGCUUGACUCUGGAGAUGGAAUCAACUAUAGGAAAUGCAUGUUUUCAGCUCAUUGAAAAAAUUGCUCAAUCAAAGGGGAAGUGCAUUUUUGUGGCCGAUUUGUAGGUUGUACCGACAUGGCGACAGUCAACGGCAUGCAACCCGCUCUCAAGUUUACCUGUAAGUAUAGCUACUGGAUUUAAUGAAGAAUGUAUUUUAGGUCUGUUUGUUUUUUUGUAUCUUUUCAUCUUUUCUAUGUUAUUAGAGAGAUCUUCACAUUAGGGACUCCAUUGUUAUCCCUGUGUGGAAAAGCGGACAUUUCCUGUUGUCUGUAAGCACUAUUGUUACUGUUAUACUCACACACUCACAUUCUUAUGGUGGAGGCAGCCAUGUGAGGGUGUGGUUAAGGGUUUUUGUUCAAGAAGCCAGGAAGAGUUUGUGAUUGAAUUUUCUGGUUCCAGAACACCCAUUGUACCUCCUGAAUCACUGUAAACACUCUUGUUUUUUAUCAUGCUUGCUUUUUUACUGUCACAAGGCUCAUUGUAAACAGAAAAUUGUUAAAAUGUGUGUGUGUUUCAUUAGUGUUGUGCUGUUGUGUUUCUGUGUUGUAUUAACCUCUCCCACUAUGAUGAAUUGAAAUGUCAUUAACCACAAUAGGUGUUGAAGCCAACACAAAGACAGAUACUCUUUCGGGAUUCCAAAUGUGCACAUGCACAAUUUGGAUUUGGUGAUCAGGAAAUGAGAGAUCUGCUGAGGUCACCAACAAAAACUUUGGUUUCAUUUUGGUUCUCAUCGGUGUUCAUGUUCCGAUGCUGUUCUGAAAAUGUUUGUUGUAGGGCUGAGCAGUAUGGACAAAAUAAAAUCCCAUCAUUACAGUAUCAAAAAUUCCACAAUGUCAUUCAUGACUAUUGAUAUAUUGCCCAGCUCUACAUUGUUUUU